Molecule: ribosomal RNA, 513 nt
Filed under: uncultured archaeon
Lineage: Archaea
Description: bacterial SSU rRNA
Rfam family: Archaeal small subunit ribosomal RNA
Source: RNAcentral
AACUUUACAAUGCGGGAAACCGUGAUAAGGGGACACCGAGUGCCAGCAUCAUAUGCUGGCUGUCCAGGUGUGUAAAAUACACCUGUUAGCAAGGGCCGGGCAAGACCGGUGCCAGCCGCCGCGGUAACACCGGCGGCCCGAGUGGUGAUCGUGAUUAUCGGGUCUAAAGGGUCCGUAGCCGGUUUGGUCAGUCCUCCGGGAAAUCUGAUAGCUCAACUAUUAGGCUUUCGGGGGAUACUGCCAGACUUGGAACCGGGAGAGGUAAGAGGUACUACAGGGGUAGGAGUGAAAUCUUGUAAUCCCUGUGGGACCACCUGUGGCGAAGGCGUCUUACCAGAACGGGUUCGACGGUGAGGGACGAAAGCUGGGGGCACGAACCGGAUUAGAUACCCGGGUAGUCCCAGCCGUAAACGAUGCUCGCUAGGUGUCAGACAUGGCGCGACCGUGUCUGGUGCCGCAGGGAAGCCGUGAAGCGAGCCACCUGGGAAGUACGGCCGCAAGGCUGAAACUUAA